Molecule: long non-coding RNA, 406 nt
Organism: Nicotiana tabacum (common tobacco)
Lineage: Eukaryota; Viridiplantae; Streptophyta; Magnoliopsida; Solanales; Solanaceae
Source: RefSeq, a predicted model, not a curated record
CCUAAGAGAAUUAAAGGCUUCGAAUUCUUCUCACUAAUUUUCAGUUUUUCUUCCUCUCCUGUUCUGAGAUCUCUACUCUUCGAGUUUGAAUUUUGACUCUUUAAAUGGCUAAACAAAAAGGGAUUUUGUUUGGUUUGCUACUCCACAGAAGCCUACGGUCCACAUUGCUGAAAUAUGCCGAUGCUGCAUUUUGAAGUCUGGUGGGCCUACACUCCCUCUGCCUCAUAUUGUAUAUGUUAAGAUACUAACACUAACAUUGAGUGUUCCAUUUGUGCUUUAAUCAUUUUUAGGAACCUAGGCAAAACCAAGCUCAUAGGUAAAUAAAAUGAUAAUCUGAAUUUACUUACCAUAUUCAAUAGAGUAUAUCAAGCACUUACUAAUAAUAAAAGGUCUUGUUCUUUAUUUA